AGGUUAGUCCUAAAAUCAUUGAGUUGCAGUAUUUGGAAUAUUUGGACCUCAGUCACAAUUCCUUCAAUGCCACCCAAAUUCCAGCACUCAUUUGUUCUCUUUCCAGUUUAAGACACCUAGAUCUCCAUUCCAAUCCCCACAUCGGGAGCAAAAUUCCAAAGCUUAUUGGUAAUCUGACCAAUUUAAGGUAUCUAGAUCUCUCUAAUAUUGGCUUCAGUGGUGAAAUUCCAACGCCGAUGUGUUCUCUGUCUAAUUUAAGACACCUAGAUCUCGGUUACAAUGAUCUCAACGGGAGCAAUAUUCUAGAGCUCAUUGGUAAUCUGACCAAUGUAAGAUAUCUAGAUCUCUCUUUGAAUUCCUUGGGUGAUAAAAUUCCAGUUGCAUAUCAUCAACUUGGAAACCUUACUCACUUGCAAUAUCUCAAUCUCGGAUAUAAUUACCACACUCAUGUUGUAGAAAACCUCAAUUGGCUCCCACAUCUUUCUUCUUUGAAAUACCUAGACUUGAGUGGGACCAAUCUGAGUAAGGCGUCUGAUUGGCUGGAAACAAUAAACAAGCUCCCCAAUUUAUUUAUUUAUUACUAAAGCUCGGUCAACUGUUCAUAUCAUAGCAUAUGAACAGUGAUUUUUUUUGUUUUUUUUGUUUUGAAAACAGGUAAUUUAGAUUUUUUUUAGAUAAGCUUUCUCUUAACAAAGAUUUUUUUGCCUUCCAUUUUUUACUUUUCUUCUGCAUCCUAAAUCUUACAAAUCAAAAUAAUUAGAACAUUUAUAUUUUGGGUAAAAUACNNNNNNNNNNNNNNNNNNNNAUUCUUAUGCUUCAGUUUAAUCAGCUUAGUGGAAGUUUGCCUUCACAGUUAUGUCACCUACCACAUCUUCAAAUAUUGGAUGUCUCUGUGAAUGAAAUCUCGGGAACUAUACCAAAAUGCCUCAACAAUUUGACUUCUUUGGCACAAGAAGGAAAUUCAAAUCUAACCAUCAGGCAUUCUUUUAAUAUAUCAGAGGCCGAACCACCGAUGACUUCUCUUUAUUAUGAAGAUGAUGCAACAUUCAUGUGGAAAGGAACAUUGGCUUCAUACAAAAGCACCUUGGGACUAGUCAAGAGAAUUGAUCUCUCAAGCAACAGAUUAACUGGGGAGAUUCCAAGUGAAAUCACUUACCUUGUUGGAUUGGUUUCUCUGAACCUGUCAAGGAACAGUUUAAGUGGACAAAUCCCUCUAGAUAUCGGAAAGUUGAAGUCAUUAGAUUCACUUGAUUUGUCAAGAAACAAGAUACAUGGUGGAAUCCCGACAAGCCUUGCUCAUAUAGAUAGACUUGGCACCAUGGAUUUGUCAUAUAACAACUUGUCUGGUGAAAUUCCAACUGGCACUCAGCUCCAAGGCUUUAAUGCCUCAUCUUAUAUUGAAAAUCCUUGGUUGUGCGGACUUCCACUUCAUGUUUGUGAUCCAGAGGGGACAGGUCGACCUAAUGUCUCAAGUGGUGAAGAUGAUGCAAAUGAGCUCAUCACGCAAGGGUUUUACAUAAGUCUGGGACUUGGAUUUGCUGUUGGAUUCUGGGGAAUCUGUGGAAGUUUGAUAUUCAAGAAGUCAUGGAGAUAUGCAUACUACAAUUUCUUGAAUGCUUCAAAUGAUUGGCUUUAUGUGAAGGUAGUUUUGAUCAGACGACAAUUAAAGGAUUUGCUCAAUAGACAACAAUCUUAAGCCGUACGUAAUCUCUCUCUCUCUCUCUCUCUCUCUCUCAAACUGAUCGAUUAUAUUUUUAUACAGCGCCAGCAUGUUCCAGGAUGCUGGACAAUCAUCUGCUCAAGUCUUCACUGUACACGAAAUUGUUGUUCAAUCAUGUUUUUCUUCAUCUUGUCUCUACCUUGCCAAGUUUGGUUUCAGUGUCUCUUCAUUCUAUAAGAUUUCUAUAAUAAGUCCUCAUCCCUCAGUACCAUGGACAUACUUCAUCAGAAACUUUUGGUAUAUUAUCUGUACUAUAAUUGUAAGAACUUGUUGAUUCAAUCAUCUCUUUGUCUUGAAAAAUUUCUAUUCCAGCUACUGUUAUUCAAGAGACUUCUGCACUACAGGAUUAAUGAUGAUGUGUGUUCCAUAACUACAGAAUUACUAGUGAUUAUGGUUUGCAUAUAUAGGUUCUCUAAUUUUAAAUUAUCUCUUUCCUUUCAUGCAUCAUUCUUGUACUUAUAUUUGCACAAUCAAAACUUGUCUCCUAAUCUUCCUCACAGAAUACCAUAUACCAUGUUUCCAACAUCAAAGAAGUGCAAGUAAAAGCAACUGUUGGCAUGAUAACUGUUGAAAAGAUGGGCACCGGGAAGUUCUAAAAUAAUCUACUGUUGAAGAACAGACAGCCAUAUAAGUUCAUGUAUUUUAUCUCUUAUUGUCUCGACUAGCUAUCAGGUAAGGUUUCCAAUCAUCUUCUGUUUAUCUGUAUCUGAAUGUGAUAGGCCGAGUGUGUAUAAUGAAAAAUCAGUCUAACACCGAACUUGGUAUAGGCAUCAACCAAAUUUCCUAGUAAAUUUUCUUGACCAACUUAUUAAAUUAAGUCAGAUUAAUGAGAUGAAAUUUGUAGAUCAAUAUAUCACUGACGUGUUUAAGAAAGAAUUGUUUUACGAGGAUUCACUGACACUAUACUAUGUUUAAAAAAUGCUAAAAGAAAACAGAGUGAUAAAGAAAAAACAGAGUAUUUCCAAUGGUUUCCAAUACAUUUCUUGUUUUGUGUUUUCUUCGACUUGUUUGCUGCUCUCAACAUGAAAAGAUAAUACUAGCGUUAUUACGCCCCUUGAUUCACUGAUACUUGAUAUUGAUUAUAGGGGUUUCUUGANNNNNNNNNNNNNNNNNNNNGUUCUCUGUGAGAAGUUUCUGAAACGAAAGCUCUGUCUUACUAAAUAAAUUGAUUGUGACUAAUAUGGAAGACCGAGGAUCUCUACCAAGUCAAGUCAAUAAUCAGCCAUAGUGUGGAAAUGAUAGCACUAAUAGAGACUUGGGUUCAGCUUAUGUUGUUUUCUAUCUUAUCAAUUGAUUUCUUGUUGACUUCUUGUCACCGAUCAAGAAAACAGAGUUGAUAAUUGCUACUCGAUCAGUUCCUAUUGUAAGAAGUUGUUGGAGAACUCUCCAGUCAGCUGCUUGGCUCGCAUAUAUUCCAGCUAGUUCUUUGCUAGACAUCUCUGCAAUUUACAGUUAAAUAACGCCACAAUAGAAAGAAAGAAAGAAAGAAAACUAUUACUUAUUGACUGCAACACUCGAGCUCCUUUCUUAAAUGGAAUAUUUGUAUCUGCACAUAAACCAUUCCAAUCUGCUACCGCAGAGAUGAAACGUUUAAUGGGAGGAGAAUUUUACAUGAAUAUAUAUGUUCUGUACGGACAGUAAGAACGAAAUUUAAGAAGAAAAACAGAUUGAUAAAGAAAAAACAGAGUAUUUCUAUCAAGGGUACGUGAUUCUUCGCGAGUCAAGUCAAUAUUAGGCAACGAUUGCAUUGUUGAAAUGAUAUUAGAAUUGUAGAAUUGUAGCUGUAGUAGCCCAUGUUACAGAAUUCCCAAAUGAUAUUAUAUAGUGCACGAGGAAUCAAUUCAAAUAAAGGAAUACAAACUAUGCUCUUUAGUUUUGGAACUAAAAACAGAGUGAUCAAAACUAAAACAGAGUAUUUUCCAAAUACAAUCUCUGGUUUUGUUUAUUUACUUCAACUUGUCGACUGAUUUCAACAUGAACACUUGAACAGUGAUGUUAUUUACCUGCCAUAAUCAUCUCGCUCCUUUACUCUCAACUUUUNNNNNNNNNNNNNNNNNNNNCGAGGGAAAUUUAUUGAGAAGAAAAAAGAAAAAAAACAAUCAUAGGAGGGACCUAACUCCACUCCUAACCAAAAUAAAAAACAAACCUAUAACUCACAACAAAACAACAAAAGUUAACAGAAACGAAAGAUGGGAAGCCCCAACCCAUCGUUAUUACAAAGAGAAAUAACAAAAUUUGGGGGCAAGUCCCACCACGUCAAGCCUGAAGACGUUGUCCCUUCAUUCGAGUUCAGUGAUUGCGAAAGGAGUUCAUGUAAUAUUUGUAUUUGACAGUAAUUAAUUCGAGUUCAGUAGUUCAAUCCUGGAGAUGAAAACUUGUUUGUGAGGAACUUUUAGUAUAGAAUUGUUUUACUUAAUAGAUGGAUCCAUCCGCCGAAACUAAGCUAGUAAUCCUAGUAUGCUCGCAGAGUACUUAGAUAUAGAAAAGAACAAGCAAAAAUGAAUAAAUUAAAAGAGUACGUACGUGCAUGAUAUAACUGGGGGUACUUCCUAUAACAUUGAGAGUGAUAAAUUAACUAUCUCUCCACUUUCCAAAUUCUUAUCCUAAAGUUUUUCUGUAAGCCAUUCCAUUCCAAAUAAACUGAUAACGACUAAUAUGCAUGGAAGAUUCAAUAUUAAUUACGACCAAGUCAAGUCCAUGCUUGGCAACAUUUGCAUUGUGGAAAUUGUAACUUGUUUCAGUUCUAGCAGACUGAGACACUUGGGUCCAAUUUUUCCUGUUUUCUAGUAAGUUGUGGCUAUCUAUUGCUGCAUCUCCUUUUACGUCGAUUCUAUAUCGAUCACCAUCUCAUUGAAUUUUCAAUAUGAUUGUGAUGCCAAAGAAAGCAGUGUUCUCUAUUUAAUUUACAGAUCGAAAAGAAAAAUAUGGAGGCAACGUACUCGCAGUGUUCAUGAUAUAUUUUUGUAUGUUAACCCAAGUGAUUUAUCUUAAUCUUAUUCUGAGAAAGGUACUGUUAUUGAGCUCUUUUAGUCAUGACCAACUUAUUAAAUUAAGUCAGAUUAAUGAGAGGAAAUUUUUAGAUCAAUAUAUCACUGACACGUUUAAGAAAGAAUUGUUUUACGAGGACUCACUGACACUAUGCUACUUAGUUUAAGAAAUGCUAAAAGAAAACAGAGUGAUAAAGAAAAAACAGAGUAUGUCCAAUGGUUUCCAAUACUUCGUUUUGUGUUUUUCUUCAACUUGUUUGCUGCUCUCAACAUGAAAAGAUAAUAAUAGCGUUAUUACGCCCCUUGAUUCACUGAUACUUGAUAUUGAUUAUAGGGGUUUCUUGAUAUACUGUCCCGUUGAAUUGCUAUGGGAAAACAGAGCUAGACAAAAUGCUCAAUUUUGUUUAACAGUAAUUUGAGUGAACAACUCCAAUACAUUUUUGUUUUGUGUUUUCUCCGACUUAUUGACUGCUCUCAAAUUGAAGUCGACAUUGCAUUGUCGAAAUAAUAACUCCUAUCAAUAGCAGCUGCGAGGCAGUUUCCAAAUGAUCGUGACGCCGGCGAAAAAGAAAUUUUCUUUCUCAUCUUCUUCCAUACAUGAAACCCUUUUCUAUGCUUAAUUUUAUUCCGAGAAAUCUGACAUAAUAACAGUGUUCUUCAGAUUCCUGCUCCUGAUACUAAUAAUUUUCCACGAGUCUUCUGAAGCAGUUAUUGGUCAACGUAGCAAUUGCCUGUUUGUUUCCCCUGUUUCACAGCUUAGUUUAGAUAUGAAAUUCUUCGAUUAAUUGGUUCUGAGGAGCUAUCAUUAUUAUCCAUGUAUUUUAUAUAAUAAAAGAAAAGAAAAGGAAAUUCCUCUACAACAGAGUGCUGAAAACGAAAACAGGGUAUUUCCCCAGCAUAAUCACUUGUUUUGUUUAUUUACUUCAACAUGAAAAAUAUAUAUUGUUAUUUAUUUACGUGUGAAAAUGAGAACAGAAGCUUUUCGGAAUCUUUAUCACAGGCCAACAAGGUUCUCUGUGAGAAGUUUUUGUCUUACUAAAUAAAUUAAUAUGGAAGACGGAAGAUCUCUACCAAGUCCAAGUCAAUAAUCAGCCAUAUUAUAGCAGUAGUAGAAAUUGAUGCGUCUCCCUUAACGUUCAAAUCUUAAUUCUUGAUUUCUAACUGAAAAGAAAGAUAUCUUCCACCAGCUAGCUUUGUUUGCCAUGAAUAAAUUUAUAUAUAUUCAAUCAACAACAUAGUGUUAUAAGCAAAACUCCUCCUAAUUUCAAUAGCAAUUAAUUUCGAAUUCUCAUCCAAUUAUUAAGUCAACACCCGAGUCAUGUUAGUUAAUGCUCAACGUAGAAGAUACUCUCUUCCUUCUUUCCAUGCAUCUUCUGUAUGAGCUUACGUCUCUGUUUCACAGCUUAGUUCAGAUAUGUGAAAUCAUUAUAAAUAGGGAAUGAUUUGCAUGCAAAGGGAGUAUUCAAUUCUGAGAAAUAAACACACAGCCAAACUUAUAAAUAGUAGCUUGCAGUGCAAUUGUGCUUCUACUUCCCUCAUCGUCUUGAUUACAUCAAUUAAGAUGGAGUUGGGAAGGUGGCUCAUACAUGCUUGUACAAUAUCAAUUGUGCUUCUUCUGCGUAUCAACGCUUCCUUAUCCCUCGGUCACCACCAUGCUAACAUGACGGCGAGAUGCAUUGAGAGGGAGAGGGAUGCACUUCUUGCUAUCAAAGGAGACUUGGUGGAUGAAUACAACCUGCUCUCUUCGUGGGGAAGGGAAGACUGUUGCGGAUGGGAGAGAGUCCAUUGUGAUCCCCACACUGGCCAUGUUAUUCAACUUCAUCUUGGAGGAGUGUUGGAGGUGUCGCGACGUGGACUUGAUCGACUGGAGAUGUACAAUGCAAGGUCAGGAUAUAUGUACUUUCCGGGGUUGUUUUAUCUGCAAGGUCAGGAUAUAUUGAAAAACUUCGGAGGUCAGGUUAGUCCUAAAAUCAUUGAGUUGCAGUAUUUGGAAUAUUUGGACCUCAGUCUCAAUUUUUUCAAUGCCACCCAAAUUCCAACACUCAUUUGUUCUCUGUCCAACUUAAGACACCUAGAUCUCCAUUCCAAUCACCUCACCGGGAGCAAAAUUCCAAAACUCAUUGGUAAUCUGACCAAUUUAAGGUAUCUAGAUCUCUCUUAUAUUGGCUUCAGUGGUGAAAUUCCAACAACAAUGUGUUCUCUGUCUAAUUUAAGACACCUAGAUCUCUAUGAUAAUGACCUAAACGGGAGCAAUAUUCUAGAGCUCAUUGGUAAUCUAACCAAUUUAAGAUAUCUAGAUCUCUCUGAGAAUUCCUUGGGUGAUGAAACUCCAGUUCCAUAUCAUCAACUUGGAAACCUUACUCACUUGCAAUAUCUCAAUCUCGGGUAUACUUACCACACUCAUGUUGUAGAAAACCUCAAUUGGCUCCCACGUCUUUCUUCUUUGAAAUACCUAGACUUGAGUUGGACCAAUCUGAGUAAGGUGUCUGAUUGGCUGGAC
Molecule: long non-coding RNA, 7207 nt
Filed under: Fragaria vesca (wild strawberry)
Lineage: Eukaryota; Viridiplantae; Streptophyta; Magnoliopsida; Rosales; Rosaceae
Description: long non-coding RNA (FVES_LNC003576)
Source: RNAcentral